RNAcentral lists this ribosomal RNA (279 nucleotides) under uncultured bacterium. Its description in RNAcentral is "partial 16S ribosomal RNA". It matches the Rfam family "Bacterial small subunit ribosomal RNA", at positions 506 to 784 of the family's 1533-position model. The record is from RNAcentral.
UGCCAGCAGCCGCGGUAAUACGGAGGGUGCGAGCGUUAAUCGGAAUUACUGGGCGUAAAGCGCAUGCAGGCGGUUGAUUAAGCGAGAUGUGAAAGCCCCGGGCUUAACCUGGGAACUGCAUUUCGAACUGGUCAACUAGAGUCUUGUAGAGGGGGGUAGAAUUUCAGGUGUAGCGGUGAAAUGCGUAGAUAUAGGAAGGAACAUCAGUGGCGAAGGCGGCCACCUGGACUAAUACUGACACUGAGGUGCGAAAGCGUGGGGAGCAAACAGGAUUAGAUA